Molecule: ribosomal RNA, 496 nt
Filed under: uncultured bacterium
Lineage: Bacteria
Description: bacterial SSU rRNA
Rfam family: Bacterial small subunit ribosomal RNA
Source: RNAcentral
ACUCAAAGGAAUAGACGGGGACCCGCACAAGCAGCGGAGCAUGUGGUUUAAUUCGAAGCAACGCGAAAAACCUUACCAAGACUUGACAUCGUACGCAUAGCAUGGAAACAUGUGAAUCUCUUCGGAGCGUGCAGACAGGUGGUGCAUGGUUGUCGUCAGCUCGUGUCGUGAGAUGUUGGGUUAAGUCCCGCAACGAGCGCAACCCUUGUGAACAGUUGCCCAUAUUAAGUUAGGAACUCUGUUCAGACUGCCGUGGUUAACACGGAGGAAGGUGGGGAUGACGUCAAAUCAUCAUGCCCCUUACGUCUUGGGCUACACACGUGCUACAAUGGCUACUACAAAGAGCUGCGAGCCGGCAACGGUCAGCGAAUCUCAAAAAAGUAGUCUCAGUUCGGAUUGUGGGCUGCAAUUCGCCCACAUGAAGUCGGAGUUGCUAGUAAUCCCAAAUCAGCAUGUUGGGGUGAAUGCGUUCCCGGGUCUUGUACACACCGCCCGU